RNAcentral lists this long non-coding RNA (794 nucleotides) under Homo sapiens (human). Its description in RNAcentral is "HSALNT0070871". The record is from RNAcentral. Lineage: Eukaryota; Metazoa; Chordata; Mammalia; Primates; Hominidae.
UUUUGCAAACCCAGGUCAGAGUGGAAAAUUCCCCUAGGGCUCAGGCUGUGAGAAACAUCCUGCCGGGCAAGUCCUAAGCCCAACCGCCUGAUCUCAGGAAAUUCCUCACUUAGCAACAGCUAACCACCCUGCCCACCCCACUUCACAACAAGCCCAGAUCUCUCCCACCCGGACCUAAACUUACCCAGUCUGUAAGCGGGGGCGGGCUCUGGCCUUAGUUGGUGUCCCCCUCCGCGGGUGUUUGUUCGGUAAACCUGUGUUGCUGUAGAGCCGCCUCCGUCCGUUUUUCCUCCCGUUCCUGCGCUAACAAUGACAUUAUACCAAAUGUAACUGGGAACCAGGAAGAAGAACUUGAUAACAGGACCUUGCAUAAUUAAUCGAUUGAUCACUGAACUUCAUUGUCAUAUUUCUACGGUCAAAUUUUGGGAGAAAGCUGUCGCAAAUUCAUCAGAGUGUAGCAAUGCCCGAGUUGUAACUGAGUUCCAUCUGGAUAAAACCAAGAUAGAAAUUGUGCCUCAUAAUUGAUAUUUUGAGGAUUCCAUGAAGUAAUAAAUUUAUUAUGUGCUAAGAAAUAUGUGCCUGUCCCUAGGUAGCAAACUGCAACUUAACUUCAUAUGAAAACAAUCUACAACUGUAACAUAUUCUGUAACAAAUAACUGAGACUCAGUUAAUUAUAGCAGCUGGGCUUUAACCAGUCAUGGGAUGACAACUGAUCAGACCAUGUAUCUGUAUAAGGCAAGUGCUUCAUCACACCGUGGCUGAAUCAGACAAGAGACACACCUCUUAUUACAGAA